GACGUAGGGGGCAAGCGUUAUCCGGAUUCACUGGGCGUAAAGGGCGCGUAGGCGGCUGUGUUAGUCCGGCGUGAAAUCCCAGGGCUCAACUCUGGAACUGCGUCGGAUACUGCACUGGCUUGAGGAUGGUAGAGGCUCGGGGAACUAGCGGUGUAGCGGUGAAAUGCGCAGAUAUCGCUAGGAACGCCGGUGGCGAAGGCGCCGGGCUGGGCCAUUCCUGACGCUGAGGCGCGAAAGCUAGGGGAGCGAACCGG
RNAcentral lists this unclassified non-coding RNA (254 nucleotides) under uncultured Actinomycetes bacterium. Its description in RNAcentral is "uncultured actinobacterium contains 16S-23S intergenic spacer region". It matches the Rfam family "Bacterial small subunit ribosomal RNA", at positions 524 to 776 of the family's 1533-position model. The record is from RNAcentral. Lineage: Bacteria; Bacillati; Actinomycetota; Actinomycetes.